GAUUGAACGCUGGCGGCAGGCCUAACCCAUGCAAGUCGAGCGGAUGAAGGGAGCUUGCUCCUGGAUUCAGCGGCGGACGGGUGAGUAAUGCCUAGGAAUCUGCCUGGUAGUGGGGGAUAACGUCCGGAAACGGGCGCUAAUACCGCAUACGUCCUGAGGGAGAAAGUGGGGGAUCUUCGGACCUCACGCUAUCAGAUGAGCCUAGGUCGGAUUAGCUAGUUGGUGGGGUAAAGGCCUACCAAGGCGACGAUCCGUAACUGGUCUGAGAGGAUGAUCAGUCACACUGGAACUGAGACACGGUCCAGACUCCUACGGGAGGCAGCAGUGGGGAAUAUUGGACAAUGGGCGAAAGCCUGAUCCAGCCAUGCCGCGUGUGUGAAGAAGGUCUUCGGAUUGUAAAGCACUUUAAGUUGGGAGGAAGGGCAGUAAGUUAAUACCUUGCUGUUUUGACGUUACCAACAGAAUAAGCACCGGCUAACUUCGUG
Molecule: ribosomal RNA, 485 nt
Filed under: uncultured bacterium
Lineage: Bacteria
Description: partial 16S ribosomal RNA
Rfam family: Bacterial small subunit ribosomal RNA
Source: RNAcentral